UGGGGAAUUUUGGACAAUGGGCGAAAGCCUGAUCCAGCAAUGCCGCGUGUGUGAAGAAGGCCUUCGGGUUGUAAAGCACUUUUGUCCGGAAAGAAAUCCUUGGCUCUAAUACAGUCGGGGGAUGACGGUACCGGAAGAAUAAGCACCGGCUAACUACGUGCCAGCAGCCGCGGUAAUACGUAGGGUGCAAGCGUUAAUCGGAAUUACUGGGCGUAAGCGUGCGCAGGCGGUUUGCUAAGACCGAUGUGAAAUCCCCGGGCUCAACCUGGGAACUGCAUUGGUGACUGGCAGGCUAGAGUAUGGCAGAGGGGGGUAGAAUUCCACGUGUAGCAGUGAAAUGCGUAGAGAUGUGGAGGAAUACCGAUGGCGAAGGCAGCCCCCUGGGCCAAUACUGACGCUCAUGCACGAAAGCGUGGGGAGCAAACAGGAUUAGAUACCCUGGUAGUCCACGCCCUAAACGAUGUCAACUAGUUGUUGGGGAUUCAUUCCUUAGUAACGUAGCUAACGCGUGAAGUUGACCGCCUGGGGAGUACGGUCGCAAGAUU
This 545-nucleotide ribosomal RNA is filed under the name uncultured bacterium. RNAcentral describes it as "partial 16S ribosomal RNA". It matches the Rfam family "Bacterial small subunit ribosomal RNA", at positions 355 to 895 of the family's 1533-position model. The record is from RNAcentral.